GGGGAUGUAGCUUAAUGUCAAAGCACUUGCUUAGCAUGCAUGAGGCCCUGGGUUCAAUUCUCUGUUCCUCA
Molecule: transfer RNA, 71 nt
Filed under: Cavia porcellus (domestic guinea pig)
Lineage: Eukaryota; Metazoa; Chordata; Mammalia; Rodentia; Caviidae
Rfam family: tRNA
About the family: Transfer RNA (tRNA) molecules are approximately 80 nucleotides in length. Their secondary structure includes four short double-helical elements and three loops (D, anti-codon, and T loops).
Source: Rfam by way of RNAcentral